ACGAAUUUUCACUGUUUCUUUUUUUCCAUCAGACUCGAACCACGGGUUUUCUAAGUAUUAGAAAAUCCAGUUGCACGAACGAGAAAGAGAAAGGGUGUUUCAUAGAAGCGGCGGCAAGUGGCUCUCUCGCUCUAUCGCUUGGAUAUGAUAGGAACACCGAUGAACAGAUACCAAGGAACGAUUCUAGACAUCGAGACAGUGAAGAAGGUUCAUGUGCACCAGAAAUGUCUGCAGGCACGUAACCAACUUUACGUGUAAUUCUCCAAUCAGUUGAUUUCUCGUAAUACAGCCUCGUAAUCUACGCAAUUCCAUUUAACAUAUUCUCCUCGCCCUAGUUAAGCAGAAGAGCGUUACACGAGCAUAUCGACACUCGGCCAGGUCGGCGCCAAUGCAACCACAUUAAUAAGAGGAAUUUCCAACAAGAAUUUGCGACGAUUCUAGAGGAAAUGCGAGGACACAAGCUGGCGACGUGCAUGGUACGAUUCGCGUAGGUGUCGUUACGGUGGCUGACGCGUGAAGUCAACAAUAGCCGUCGUUGAUGAGAGAGAAGAAGAGAGAGACGGUUCAUUAGCUGAGCUGUCUCUCAACCUGGUGGCUACAAUUCAAGGUUUGUAUCGCGCCGUCAAAUUGAACGAAGCUCAUAUCAGUGAAGCGACCUAUAACAAGUCACCAUUGAAGAAUUAUCGCGUGGAAUCUACCGCAUUCUUCUAUAAUAAAUUGCGAUAAACGAACGGUACAG
Molecule: unclassified non-coding RNA, 739 nt
Filed under: Bombus terrestris (buff-tailed bumblebee)
Lineage: Eukaryota; Metazoa; Arthropoda; Insecta; Hymenoptera; Apidae
Description: misc RNA ENSBTSG00005035166.1
Source: RNAcentral